GAUGAACGCUGGCGGCGUGCUUAACACAUGCAAGUCGAGCGAAGUUAUUAUAGUGCUUGCACUGUAAUAACUUAGCGGCGGACGGGUGAGGAACACGUGAGUAAUCUGCCCUUAACAGGGGGAUAACACAAAGAAAUUUGUGCUAAUACCGCAUAAGCUCACAUAACGGCAUCGUUAAGUGAGAAAAGAUUUAUUGGUUAAGGAGGAGCUCGCGGCUGAUUAGCUAGUUGGUGGGGCAACGGCCUACCAAGGCGACGAUCAGUAGCCGGCCUGAGAGGGUGAACGGCCACAUUGGAACUGAGACACGGUCCAA
RNAcentral lists this ribosomal RNA (313 nucleotides) under uncultured bacterium. RNAcentral's name for it is "bacterial SSU rRNA". It matches the Rfam family "Bacterial small subunit ribosomal RNA", at positions 28 to 334 of the family's 1533-position model. The record is from RNAcentral.